Molecule: long non-coding RNA, 884 nt
Filed under: Homo sapiens (human)
Lineage: Eukaryota; Metazoa; Chordata; Mammalia; Primates; Hominidae
Description: HSALNT0183906
Source: RNAcentral
CACGGCUGAGAGAGAGUGGGCCAGACAUCUAUAAAGGACGAUGAUGAAAGCCAACCCAGCCCCUGUGACGCCCUUGGUUUUCAUCCAUGGCGUUAAAGCAAGAUAAAGACCUCGCAUGGGAAUAAAGUUUUCUGGGCUUGUAAGGGGAAGGAUGAUAAAUUACACUGUGGAAAACGGGGCCAGUGACUCACAGCUGGAGGUGGACUGGUUGAGUAAAUGAAAAGCAAGUCUGCACUAGUAUUUGGAAUGGAUGCCACUGUGGGUGUCAGGAGGAAGUGAAGUCACUUUCUCCUGUUCAGAAUGAAGAGCAAACAGACCUUAAAGUCUGUGUGUGCUCCACCGUGGUGCUGGCUUUUAAUAUGGCACACUAAGGGAAGAGGGAUGGACACGCACCAGGGCACAGCCACCCCGCCCCACGCACCUGCUGCCAGUGGAACACAGCUUCGGCACAUGCUAGUGCUGGGAUGAUCUAGAAGGGCUCAAGAGGCUCCCAUCUCCCAAACUGAAGACCUGGCCCCUCUCCUUCAAGUUUACAGUGGCUGAUGCAGCUGAGCGAGGAGCAGCUCUGGGGCCUGGGAGGGGAACAUCUCACUACAGGCAACGCUGGCUCCCCACUGCUGAAGAAGCUGGAAAUGGAUCUCUGUGGUUUUGAGCCAUUGCAGUUUCAAGUCUGCUGAUGACAGUGGCUGAACCUACACUAACACACAGAAUUCUGCCAACAACAAUAGCUCUGGGACAAAAUACAGACUGCCUUUUACUGAGACAUAUGUGAGGUCUGUGUGCCUGCAAUAGCUUCACCUACAUUCUAAGGCCUGGAAGAGCAGGGCUGUGAUUUGUGCUUCAGUAUUUAGGACAGCAUUUGCCUUUUCCCCUAGUUUAGUUAU